Molecule: RNA transcript, 780 nt
Organism: Dermacentor albipictus
Lineage: Eukaryota; Metazoa; Arthropoda; Arachnida; Ixodida; Ixodidae
Source: RefSeq, a predicted model, not a curated record
GUCUGCAUCUGGCACGAGAAAAUAUCAGGAUCGGACGUCCGCUUUGCUUCGUAUAAAUAAGCGCCGCAGGGAUUGUUUUCUCAGUGUCCUGCGACCAGACAACUGCACGUAUUCCUGCUUCACUCCGACAAAGACAGCGAUUUCGCGAUGAAGACAUUCGGAAUCAUCGUGUGCUUAGGACUUUUAGCAGCAGCAUGUGCAGCCACACUGUAAGUGUACAGGAAUCCUGCUUGGUCAUCCGUUCAAAUUUUGGAUUCGUGAGUCCCCGGAAAGUGAGCAUGCACUUCAGCAAACCGAGCAAGACAAAAAGCUCCAGGCUUCUGUCAUCCUGCUUGGCGAAUCAGUGGACAGAUGGAUUGAAAAUAGCAAGGGGUUAGAGCCAGAGUUGCCACAGGGUCGCGAGAAAAUAGUGGACGAGACUGUGUACGAAACCGAAGCACUGGACAACCCAGAGGACGAGGACGACGCGGAAGACGACAGUGAUGCCGUGGUCGAGUAUGGACUCGGAAAGAAGUUGAAGAAGUGGAGGAAGAAGGCGAAGAAGGCCCUUGUCGACGCUGCGAAGGUGGUCGCUGUAAACAAGGUGGUCGGUGCCGCAGCUGGCGCUCUCGGAUGAAGAAUGUCAAGUUUGCAGCGGCGGCAGAAGAAGAACCGACAGCUUUGAAAGGCAUUUCCUUAGGACAGCAAAGACUAAGGUCAUAGUGUGAUAUUGAUAAUCAAUGAAAAUAAUUUAUCUAUUGAAAUCUUUUUCGUUGUUGAACAAUAAACAUGUAUCUUUUA